UACGUAGGGUGCGAGCGUUAAUCGGAAUUACUGGGCGUAAAGCGUGCGCAGGCGGUUUGUUAAGAUAGGCGUGAAAUCCCCGGGCUCAACCUGGGAACUGCGCUUAUGACUGGCAAGCUAGAGUACGGCAGAGGGGGGUGGAAUUCCACGUGUAGCAGUGAAAUGCGUAGAGAUGUGGAGGAACACCAAUGGCGAAGGCAGCCCCCUGGGUCGAUACUGACGCUCAUGCACGAAAGCGUGGGUAGCAAAC
Molecule: ribosomal RNA, 250 nt
Filed under: uncultured bacterium
Lineage: Bacteria
Description: partial 16S ribosomal RNA
Rfam family: Bacterial small subunit ribosomal RNA
Source: RNAcentral